AUUUUAAAGAUUAGUCUGUUUUGUCCUAUAGGAACACAGAAAAAUAUGUUUGCCUUCAAAUUGGCUAGUUGACUACUGACCUGCGGCUGGGUGGAGAAUGUGCAGGUCGCCUCUGUCUGGGUGGAGAGUAGCUGAGGGAGCGAGAGUCUCUCAGCGAAUCAGCUGGCACUCUUUGAGGUUGCGCUGGGCUGGAAAAGAUGACAGAGGUGUCAAAUAUCAACUGGUUCCUGUAUGUUACAGAAAUAUUCCAGACUUUUUGAAUAACAUUAGGUAAUAAAUAAUAUUGUAAUUUCCAUAACUAGAAACAUUACAUUAUAUGAGUUCUGGGUCAAGAACCAAUGGAAAUAAUAGAUCUAUGACAAAUAGUUAACAAAUAGUUAACAUUAACAACAAUUCUGGUGGUCCUAGUCUUUUUGGUUACCACUUUUUCUUGUCUUCCUUCUCACUUUCAGAAGAGGAGGAGGAGGAGGAGCUAUGGGCAGCCGUUAUCCUGUCACCUCUGGGAGAGAGAGAGGGAGAUAUUGUAACGAGAGGAAUCAUAGUCAGAACUGUCUGAUGAAGAGGAAGAUGAGGAGGAGGAAGAAGAAGAAGACGAUGAAGAACGGGGGCUGCCUAACUUUCCUUUCCUUUUCUCUUUGGCCCCCUUCUCGCUCACACCGUUUUCAGUCCUGACUGGUCGGUCUGAGGGAUCGGUAGCGCUGCGUGAGGGGAGAGGAGAUUGGGUCCUCGAGGUGUCUCGUAGAGAUACUCUGGUCUCUGAAUGGCUGAGGGCCUGUGGUGACCUGAAGUGGGGUGGGUCAGAGUGACGUGUUUCUUUGGGGUGGGCUCUGAUUUCUGAUUGGCUGGGAAGGGGACUGGUCUCCUUGGAGUGGAGCGGUGAGGGUAUGGAACGAGCCUUCCUUCCUCUGUCUCCCCCUUUCUCUCGUUCGUCUCUAUCACUUCUUCGGUCUUUCUCCACCGUUGGUUUCAUCACUUUUUCUACAGGCAGCUCCUUCCUCUCUCGGGCCGGAGAGGGGGAUGAGGAAGAAGAACCAGAAGUGGAAGAGCGACGGGGUGGGGGGACCUCUUUAAUAGGUUGACGCUCUCGCCUCUCUUGCUCUUUUUCACGUUGCCGCUCUUUUUCCCUCGCUCUCUCCAGCUCUCUAUUCUUCUCUCUCUCCUGGUCUCUCCGCCUUUCUCUGGAUAGCGAGAGGCUGCUUCUACUUCCUCGAAUGGGAGAGGGGGAUCGCCGAGACCUGAGGGACGAGAAAAUAAAUACACAAAUUAAAUAAACAAUUUAG
Long non-coding RNA from Oncorhynchus tshawytscha (Chinook salmon), 1280 nucleotides. The record is from Ensembl. NCBI's taxonomy places the organism in Eukaryota, Metazoa, Chordata, Actinopteri, Salmoniformes, Salmonidae.